AGACUAUUAAGACAUGAAUUCACUGUCUUUAGUAGAAUUUUUCAGAAAUCAGAAACAUAAAUUAUGUUUAAUUGUUGAAGAAUAUUUUUAAUAAAUUGUAUAACUGCUUUAGACUUACACCUUCCUCUUUCUUCUCUUUCAUCAUUUAAUGAUUAAACUUUGUGAAAUCAACACUGUAUGUAUAUUUAAACUCUAAUCUUUGUAAGGCUGAACAUUUAUGUAUCUAUAUUUUUCAAAGUGACAAUAACUAACAGUAGUAAUUUGGACCUUACAUGACAUCUUAACAGCUUUUCCUUGGUUAACAAAUAAUCAUGUAAACUGUUUCCUGUGUAAACUUCAGAUUCCCUUAAACUUCACUCUCUUGCAACAAAGAUGGCUGCAACUCUGACUUUUCUUCUCGUUAGUUCUCUGCUGCAGGGUGCGCUGUGUGGAACGUUCAACAUUAAAAUGCCACAGAAGAUAAAUGUUUUGAGAGGAUCCUGUGUGAACAUCCCCUGCUCCUUCGAUGUAGAGACAAGAUUUGAAAAUAACUUAGAUGAUUCAUGUAAAGCAUAUUGGAGUGAUUCAUCUUCAUUUACCACUGAAAAUGCAAAACUAAAGCCAACUAAAGAAAUGACAGGAGACUUAACAAAGAAAGACUGCACCACAACUGUCAAUAAUACACGUCUCCUUCAAAGUGCUAAAUACUAUUUCAGACUGGAGUGUGAUAAUGCACUGAAAUACAGGUUUGCCCAAGCUGGUGUAGAUAUUUCACUCAUAGCUGCUCCUCCCUCACCGACUCUGACUCCAUCCACACUGAAAGUGAAGGAGGGAGCCUCAGUGAGUCUGACGUGCUCUGCUCCAGCUCCAGUGUUGGUCUCAUCCUCCAGCUCUGACAUGGAGCCCUAACCUGGGUCAGAGUCAGGAGACACUGCAGGAGAAUCAGGACAAAACUAAAGUCAGGACCUCUGUUAUGAAUUUCACUGCUUCUCACCUCCAUCAUGGAAAUAAAAUCUCCUGCACUGCUGUCUACAAGAAACAAGAUGGUAGCCCUGAUGUCACUGCUGAAGCAAGUUUAACUCCUGAUAUUUCAUACUAAGGGACAUCUCUGCUGAUAGGUGAAGGUACAAUCUCUGCUGAUAGACGUCCACGCCUCGGAGGAAGCCGAUCCACGGAUUAGGCCCUGGAAGCCGUUUCCUUCAAUUUUGGUGUCAGAGGUGGGAUCCUGACGAAGGUAGGCACGUGUCUUUUUAUUUUAUAAGACUGUGUUAUGCCUUUCUCAGUGAUCCACAUAGAAACGGGAUACGCUGACGAGGCCUUCUUCAGUGGCCCACAUAGUAACAAGUGGGAUACACUGAGGAGCCUUCUUUAGUGGCCCACAUAGAAACACAGGAAGUUGCCUGUUGUUUUGUAAAUUAAAGCAGAAAGGACACAGGAAGUUGCCUGCUGUCAUAAACUAAGAAGUUGCUCACCAGCAGAAAGGACACAGGAAGUUGCCUGGGGUCAUAAAACGAGAAGUUGCUCGUUAAAAAGUGAGAAGUUGCUCACUAAAAAGAUAAAAUUGCUAGCAAAAAAUCAAGUAACCUCAGGUGUGCCACAGCAAAAAAAAACUAACUUAAAUCCUUCAAGCGUCUAAACCCCUCUGGAAAUCACUGACCAUGGGUCAGAAUAAUUCAAAGACCUUAGACGGGUCCGAUAAAAAAUCCUACAGCCUUUGUUUCUGCAUUACAGAGAAGUACCAGAUACCACCACUUGGGUGGGCCUGACUAUAGAUAUAUAUUAUGUCAACGAAUCCCAGGUGUGACUGAAUCUCAGCUUAUUGAAGAAGUAGAGGAACUAGACCCUAAAAAUGACCAAGCAGCCAACACCACCUCGUUUUUGUGGAUAAACGAUGAUAAAAUCACAGCCUUUUUUCAAAAUCUAAAGAAAUUUCUGCUCACAAUGUCUAGAGAUAAAAUUGAUUUAAAUGCAGUAACCAUGUGCAAGCAAAAGCCAGAUGAAUCCAUUCUAGUUUUUAUGAAACGUUUCACGCACUGCUGGACUAAUGAGGCAUGCAUGCCUGAAGGAGGAAAUGAUCAGAUUUUCAUAACAACAUUCUUAAACAAUAUUCAUCCAGAAUGUUCACAACUAUUGAAGCUGACUGCCACUGAUAAUCUCUAUGACAUGAAAAUAAAGAACUUUAUCACACUUGUCAAAACAAAA
Molecule: long non-coding RNA, 2181 nt
Organism: Haplochromis burtoni (Burton's mouthbrooder)
Lineage: Eukaryota; Metazoa; Chordata; Actinopteri; Cichliformes; Cichlidae
Exons: 4
Source: RefSeq, a predicted model, not a curated record